This is a long non-coding RNA of Leptinotarsa decemlineata (Colorado potato beetle), 554 nucleotides long. The record is from RefSeq and is a predicted model, not a curated record. Lineage: Eukaryota; Metazoa; Arthropoda; Insecta; Coleoptera; Chrysomelidae.
UCGAUGCCGGCACACCAAUCCGACAAUCCUUUGAAAUAAAAUUUAUUUGUUAAAUAUUUCAAAGCAAAUUUUUCUUCCUGGUGUUAGUUUUGGGAGUCGUUAUCGACAAUCAUAAAUAAGCUGAGGCAUCCUGAUAAACCUUAACUAUUACCCAGAACCCACACAAAAACUAUCCCUGUUACAGAAUAUAUUCUCAAACGUCAAACCCAAUUAAUUGAACUUACAUUUGUAGUUUCUGACGGAAAUCAGAAAUAAAAAACAAGUACUCAGCAGGAUGUGGAUUCGACUUUACAGUCGUUGGCUUUGCCUUUUGGCAUUCCAACGGCAAAUCGCAGUAUCAUAUGGAUGUGUCUUAGGCCCUAUACGCACGGGCGUAUUAACUUCGUCUCGACGCAUAAUUCAUAGCGCGUUGAAUUAUACACCCCUAUACAUGCCCUUACCCAUGUAAAAAAUAGACGAUUAUAUUUUAGAACCACUCCAUCAUAGACCACCUUGUAGUUACGCCUCUGAGGCGGAAACCGACCACUAGUUUGUACCCGAAUGAAAGAAAUAUU